UAUGUCCUGCGAUGUACGUUUCGGUUAAUUGUUGUUUUGAACCAAUGACAAAGUCUCGGGAGACUUACAUUACGCCGCAGCUGAAAGGCCCUAUCCAAUGGAUUAGGGGACUUCAAAAGCGUCGUUGCGGUCACCCACCUGCUAAGGCAGGUUCGAGACACGAUAAUCGGACGGCAUAGGCGGGUCUUGC
RNAcentral lists this non-coding RNA (190 nucleotides) under Paenibacillus sp. D2_2. RNAcentral describes it as "6S RNA". It matches the Rfam family "6S / SsrS RNA". From Rfam's summary of the family: E. coli 6S RNA was the first non coding RNA to be sequenced, but its function was unknown until recently. It consists of 184 nucleotides that fold into an extended hairpin structure with a large single-stranded internal bulge. The record is from RNAcentral. Lineage: Bacteria; Bacillati; Bacillota; Bacilli; Caryophanales; Paenibacillaceae.